RNAcentral lists this long non-coding RNA (1461 nucleotides) under Homo sapiens (human). Its description in RNAcentral is "HSALNT0317129". The record is from RNAcentral. Lineage: Eukaryota; Metazoa; Chordata; Mammalia; Primates; Hominidae.
CCGCCCGCCGGGGAACUGCACCUUCUCGCGCCCCGACGCAGCCGCCUCCGCGCGCGCACGCAACGCACGCGCUCCAGCGCCUACGGUCAAAGCGCCGCGCAACCAGUUAUUCCGCCCCCGGCUCCGCACCCGCGUCUCGGACGUUCCCGCAGCCAACGUUUAGGGCACCAGGCGCUGUGCUAGGCGCCGCGGUUAUAAAGAUAAUCGGUUUUGUUGAGCCCAGGAAUGUUCGGGUACACCCAUCAUGAGUACACCCACUCUUCUAGCCUAACAAAAAUUCCCUUAGGGCCCAAGGAAUCAUGGUACCUGCACCCCAAGAAAGCCUCUGGGUCUUUGAGUCAGCAAAGUGGCGGAGGAAGGACUGGCCCUAAAACAACCUCACUGCUUACACACACCACACCACACACACACACACGCCAGAUAGCCAGCAGAGACCUCCAACCACACACACACACACACACACACACACACACGCCAGAUAGCCAGCACAGACCUCCAGACCCCGCCCCGCCCCCCUCCCCCGGCCCCCCUCCGCCCCCACGCGCCAAAUAGCCAGCAGAGACCUCCAGGAUAUGGCUGUGAGUUUAAAAAUAAAGCUGGGGCAGGGAGAAGUUAUAAGCUGAAUCAGAUAUGCCUUUCAAUACCCUUUUAAUGUCUCAAAGAGAAAGCCAUAAACAUGCAUUUGCUUUAUGUUUCUCAACUAUUUCGAUGGAGUCAUCACUGUAGGAAGUGGUUCAUGAUUUUAUACAGGAGAGGUAUUGUGAGCAUUUAUAAAGCCAUCCUGCUUAUGAGCCAAAUUUAUUAUGUUUGCUAGGUUAAUCUGUUUUCUCUAAUCAAACACUUAAUCAUCCAGUCUCCUCUCUGCGUUAUGGAUUCAUGAAUGUGAAGUGAGGAGAGUUGCUCAGUCAAGGUUUUUCACGUACUGCACAUCCAAGCUAGGUAAUGUCUCUGCAACUGCUGCUUCCUGAUGAUUAUAUUCAUCUGAAAUGACUAAGCUUGGUAAAUUAGGCUAAGUCAAGUCUGUGGAGCAGUCAAGGGACGAAUGAAGAAAAGAAUAAUGUAAUGGAGGCUACACCAGAGACAUGGGAAUCUAUCAGCAUGUGGCAAGGAAGGAAGAACAUAGCUAUGUCUUCUAUAUAAAGAGUUGCCUGCAUUCUUCUCAGAAAAAAAAAGACAAUGGAAAGGCAAUGAGUCAUGAGUCUUGGGUUCUAAGCCUGGUUCUACCAUUUGCUAGCUGUAUGAUAAGAAGCAUGUUUGUUAAACCUCUGAGCCUCAGCUUAUAUAUAUACGAAACAGGAAAAAUAGUAACAUAGCCUGCCAUCUUCACAGAUUUGUGAAAAGGUCUUUUAAAUAUCCAAAAAGCUUAGUAUGUAUAAGAAAGAUUAAAUUGGCUGGGCGCGGUGGCUCACGCCUGUAAUCCCAGCACUUUGGGAGGCCGAGGCGGGCGGAUCACAAGGUCAG